This 610-nucleotide ribosomal RNA is filed under the name uncultured euryarchaeote. RNAcentral's name for it is "bacterial SSU rRNA". It matches the Rfam family "Archaeal small subunit ribosomal RNA", at positions 292 to 903 of the family's 1478-position model. Lineage: Archaea; Methanobacteriati; Methanobacteriota. The record is from RNAcentral.
GGAGAUGGAUUCUGAGACACGAAUCCAGACCCUACGGGGUGCAGCAGGCGCGAAAACUUGGCAAUGCGAGAAAUCGUGACCAGGGAACUCCAAGUGCAUCGGGUAAGACCGAUGCUUUUCUUGACUCUUCAAAGGUCUUGGAAUAAGGGGUGGGUAAGGACGGUGCCAGCCGCCGCGGUAAUACCGGCGCCUCAAGUGGUAGUCGCUUUUAUUGGGCCUAAAACGUCCGUAGCCGGUUUGGUACAUUCGUGGGUAAAUCAAGGCGCUCAACGUCUUGAAUUCUGCGAGCACGGCCAGACUUGGGACCGGGUGAGGUGUGGGGUACUCUCAGGAUAGGGGUAAAAUCCUGUCAUCCUGAGAGGACCACCUGUUGCGAAGGCGCCACACUAGAACGGAUCCGACGGUCAGGGACGAAGCCUAGGGGCACGAACCGGAUUAGAUACCCGGGUAGUCCUAGGUGUAAACGCUGUGGACUUGAUGUUGGGAGUGCUCCGAGCACCCUCAGUGUCGAAGCGAAGGUGAUAAGUCCACUGCCUGGGGAGUACGGUCGCAAGGCUGAAACUUAAAGGAAUUGGCGGGGGAGCACUGCAACCUGAGGAUUGUGCGGUUU